RNAcentral lists this ribosomal RNA (343 nucleotides) under Escherichia coli. Its description in RNAcentral is "bacterial SSU rRNA". It matches the Rfam family "Bacterial small subunit ribosomal RNA", at positions 1050 to 1393 of the family's 1533-position model. The record is from RNAcentral. Lineage: Bacteria; Pseudomonadati; Pseudomonadota; Gammaproteobacteria; Enterobacterales; Enterobacteriaceae. RNAcentral also lists the same sequence under 1 other name.
UGUCGUCAGCUCGUGUUGUGAAAUGUUGGGUUAAGUCCCGCAACGAGCGCAACCCUUAUCCUUUGUUGCCAGCGGUCCGGCCGGGAACUCAAAGGAGACUGCCAGUGAUAAACUGGAGGAAGGUGGGGAUGACGUCAAGUCAUCAUGGCCCUUACGACCAGGGCUACACACGUGCUACAAUGGCGCAUACAAAGAGAAGCGACCUCGCGAGAGCAAGCGGACCUCAUAAAGUGCGUCGUAGUCCGGAUUGGAGUCUGCAACUCGACUCCAUGAAGUCGGAAUCGCUAGUAAUCGUGGAUCAGAAUGCCACGGUGAAUACGUUCCCGGGCCUUGUACACACCGC